RNAcentral lists this ribosomal RNA (440 nucleotides) under uncultured bacterium. RNAcentral's name for it is "bacterial SSU rRNA". It matches the Rfam family "Bacterial small subunit ribosomal RNA", at positions 338 to 795 of the family's 1533-position model. The record is from RNAcentral.
CCUACGGGGGGCUGCAGUGGGGAAUAUUGCACAAUGGGGGAAACCCUGAUGCAGCAACGCCGCGUGAGCGAUGAAGGCCUUCGGGUCGUAAAGCUCUGUCCUAAGGGAAGAAUACUGACGGUACCUUAGGAGGAAGCCCCGGCUAACUACGUGCCAGCAGCCGCGGUAAUACGUAGGGGGCUAGCGUUAUCCGGAAUUACUGGGCGUAAAGGGUGCGUAGGCGGCCCUUCAAGUCAGAGGUGAAAGGCUACGGCUCAACCGUAGUAAGCCUUUGAAACUGUAGGGCUUGAGUGCAGGAGAGGAGAGUGGAAUUCCCAGUGUAGCGGUGAAAUGCGUAGAUAUUGGGAGGAACACCAGUUGCGAAGGCGGCUCUCUGGACUGUAACUGACGCUGAGGCACGAAAGCGUGGGGAGCGAACAGGAUUAGAUACCCUUGUAGUC